This 443-nucleotide ribosomal RNA is filed under the name uncultured bacterium. RNAcentral describes it as "SSU rRNA". It matches the Rfam family "Bacterial small subunit ribosomal RNA", at positions 26 to 518 of the family's 1533-position model. The record is from RNAcentral.
AGAACGAACGCUGGCGGCACGCCUAACACAUGCAAGUCGAGCGCCCAGCAAUGGGAGCGGCGGACGGGUGAGGAACACGUGGGAAUAUGCCUUUCGGUUCGGCACAACUGCGGGAAACUGCAGCUAAUUCCGGAUACGCCCUUACGGGGAAAGAUUUAUCGCCGAAAGAUUAGCCCGCGUCUGAUUAGCUAGUUGGUGAGGUAAUGGCUCACCAAGGCUUCGAUCAGUAGCUGGUUUGAGAGAACGACCAGCCACACUGGGACUGAGACACGGCCCAGACUCCUACGGGAGGCAGCAGUGGGGAAUCUUGGACAAUGGAGGAAACUCUGAUCCAGCGAUGCCGCGUGAGUGAUGAAGGCCUUCGGGUUGUAAAACUCUUUUACCAGGGAAGAUAAUGACUGUACCUGGAGAUAAGCUCCGGCUAACUUCGUGCCAGCAGCCGC